Molecule: long non-coding RNA, 1335 nt
Filed under: Capra hircus (goat)
Lineage: Eukaryota; Metazoa; Chordata; Mammalia; Artiodactyla; Bovidae
Description: lncRNA (ENSCHIG00000006091.1)
Source: RNAcentral
AUUCCUUUACAUUUCCACUGAAACAUAAAUCCUUGUAACUGACUCAAGACCAACUUUUUUUUUUUUUUUUUUUACAUUCUGGAAUAGUUUAUUUCAUCCAACUUGCUACUCAAAGACUUUUACUGUUACACAUCAGUAUACAACAUAACACAUUUCUAAUCAUUACAGAGAACUCAGUGUCCCCUCCUGGGUCUCAUGAGCAGCGAACAGAUAAAGAGCUUGUCGAGUGGUUGCAACUGCAAGGAGCAGAUACGAGAACAAUUGAAAAGAUUCUUGAAGAGGGUUACACACUGUCUGAUAUUCUUAAUGACAUCACUAAGGAAGACCUAAGGUACCUUAGACUACACGGUGGUCUUCUCUGCAGGCUCUGGACUGCAGUCUCCCAGUACAGAAGACGGGCUCAGGGGGCCCCAGCAACCCAAGAUGAAGCUUAAUAAUCAGCCACACGGGGGAUAGCGGGAGCCCAGAGCUGACAUCUUUGUUAAAGCUUCUACUACAUACACACCAAUCCUGCUGCAAUUCCACAAGGAAAACACCACUGUUCAUUGAACAAAUUUAAGAACUUGAAGUUCUAAAGAAUUAUGGAAAAAAUGUUAAUAUUUCUCAACAUGUUUUAAAGGUGAGUGGAACUGUAUUUUGAGAACUGUGAUUGUAAAACUUGGUCUUGACAUCCCAAAGUAUUAUGGGAUUCUUUACCUUCAAACAUUUGCUGGAAAGGUGGAGCAACAGGUGUUUAACAAAAAGGCUGGGAAUCACUGUUUCAAUUAUACAUUCCAUACAUUAAUGGGAAUUGCACUUAAAAUUAGAAAAAUCAAUAAGACUAUGCCUUGUAGUUAAUAAUGUUUGAUAUGAAUGUAAAUAGAAAACUGUUAGGAAAAUAGCUUCAUAUUUAUAUUGAAUGUAUAAAUGGAGAAAACUAACUUAUUUGGCCUUUGAAACGAAGUAGUUAUAUUUAAAUAUGGAAUUGUCCUUGCACCCCUGCCAAGUUAUAAUAAAUAAUUGUGUUUUAUUAAUGAGACAUGAUGGUUCAGUGUGAACAGGCUUCAGCACUGAUGUGCACACUAACAGGGGUGUGUGCACAUUAGAGUACACUAGGUAAGCUGUUAAUAAAAAGACACUUAGUCCUUGGAAGGAAAGUUAUGACAACCUAGACAGCAUAUUAAAAAGCAGAGACAUUACUUUGCCAACAAAGGUCCGUCUAGUCAAGGCUGUGGUUUUUCCAGUAGUCAUGUAUGGAUGUGAGAGUUGGACUGUGAAGAAAGCUGAGUGCUGAAGUAUUGAUGCUUUUGAACUGUGGUGUUGGAGAAGACUCUUGAGAGUCCCUUGGACUGCAAG